Epinephelus moara (kelp grouper) is the source of this 556-nucleotide long non-coding RNA. RefSeq lists it as uncharacterized. The transcript has 2 exons. The record is from RefSeq and is a predicted model, not a curated record. NCBI's taxonomy places the organism in Eukaryota, Metazoa, Chordata, Actinopteri, Perciformes, Serranidae.
CAUUAUAUAUUAAUUCUGAUUUCAGUUUCAGUUUUCUGUGUCAGUUAUUGUGAGAGCAUGUUAAAUUGACACAGGUGAUGAAAAGAGUGUGUGAUUUGUCCCUGAAUGUCUAUAUAUCAGCUCCACACAAUAGAUAAUCUGUCACUCAAAGGUUUUUAUGAUUUUAUGACAUCGCUCUGUGGGUCUCCAGGUACGUUGUACAUCCCUGAUCUUCAGUGUCCACAUUUCCUGAGCACAGAGUUCAUCAACACCAACGUGACCAGCAGCUCACAACUACUCACCUGCUGCACACAACUCUAUAACAGUGUGACGGUGUAUGAGCCGUGGAACGUGACGGUCGGAGCAGGAUUCAGUCAGAGCAGCCUGCAACGCUGCUGUGCACUCACACCCCCCACACACUUCAACUGCAGCCUGGUGCUUUGAAUCACUGUGUACAAAACACACACCUCCGUGGUGGUGAGCACUGUGACGAGUUAUUUUUCUAUCUGUAAUGUUUACUGUUGUUAUAAUACAUUUUCAAUAAAGUUGCAUUGGUUUUGUACAAAAAUAUCAACAA